GAAUAUUGGACAAUGGGCGAAAGCCUGAUCCAGCCAUGCCGCGUGGGUGAAGAAGGCCUUCGGGUUGUAAAGCCCUUUUGUUGGGGAAGAAAUCCUGCUGGCUAAUACCUGGCGGGGCUGACGGUACCCAAAGAAUCAGCACCGGCUAACUUCGUGCCAGCAGCCGCGGUAAUACGAAGGGUGCAAGCGUUACUCGGAAUUACUGGGCGUAAAGCGUGCGUAGGUGGUGGCUUAAGUCCGUUGUGAAAGCCCUGGGCUCAACCUGGGAGUUGCAGUGGAUACUGGGUCACUAGAGCGUGGUAGAGGGUGGCGGAAUUCCCGGUGUAGCAGUGAAAUACGUAGAGAUCGGGAGGAACACCCGUGGCGAAGGCGGCCACCUGGGCCAACACUGACACUGAGGCACGAAAGCGUGGGGAGCAAACAG
Molecule: ribosomal RNA, 424 nt
Filed under: uncultured bacterium
Lineage: Bacteria
Description: bacterial SSU rRNA
Rfam family: Bacterial small subunit ribosomal RNA
Source: RNAcentral